UUGAUGGCGACCGGCGCACGGGUGCGUAACGCGUAUGCAACCUACCUUUUACAGGGGCAUAACACUGAGAAAUUGGUACUAAUUCCCCAUAAUAUCUGAGACGGCAUUCGUUUUGGGUUGAAAACUCCGGUGGUAAAAGAUGGGCAUGCGUUGUAUUAGCUAGUUGGUGAGGUAACGGCUCACCAAGGCGACGAUACAUAGGGGGACUGAGAGGUUAACCCCCCCACAUUGGUACUGAGACACGGACCAAACUCCUACGGAAGGCAGCAG
Molecule: ribosomal RNA, 270 nt
Filed under: uncultured bacterium
Lineage: Bacteria
Description: partial 16S ribosomal RNA
Rfam family: Bacterial small subunit ribosomal RNA
Source: RNAcentral